GCGCUAACAGUCGACAUAGUUCGUGAAAAUGAUAAAAAGCCCAGGUCUUGUUUAAUUAUUCAUAAAAACUUGUUGCAAUUUAAAGCUGUAUUUCAGGGGUUUACCCCCUUUUCUGUGAGAAACUACCAGCUUUUGAAGUGAUGUCUUUUUCACAUCCCUGAGCAUUUUUAAGUGCAGGUGAACACGUUGCUAGGAAGACAGAAGUAAGAAGGAUCUAUAAAUGGCUUCUACUCCUUUGGUUUCUGCAGUGGAGGUGGUGCAGGGGAGGGAAAGGGUUACUCACUGACCAUUAGUGUGCUCAAGUGCAGUACAUUCUAUGGCCUGUCAACUCCUCGACUAAUGUGUGAGGAAAUAUCUCUAUUUUCUCCCUCAGUGAAAAUUACCUGGUCUGACAUGACUAAGAGUACGCAAUGUUUAGACAUUUUCUUUCCUUUUUUUGUGGUCUUUCUUUUUUUCUUUUUUUUCUUUAGAAAAGGUGUCAUGUUAAAAAUGGUGACAUUUCGUUUUAAAUAAAUAGCAAUUAAUAUCCUAGAGAAAUGAGAAUUAAAUGCAAAAUUAAUAGAAAUAUUGAAGUUUUUUCAAACAUCUUUCCUUUCAAUGGUGCAGUUGCAGUUGCUGUACAUUGUAGUAAUCAGAGCAACUAAUAAAAACAUAAAUACAAGCUAUGACAAAAGAGCUGUUUAGUUCUCUCCAACAAACUCCUGCCAUAGGUAAAGCCACUUUAUUUGACUCUUUACAGGCUAAAAAGUUGGAAAAACAGCCACUUAUCCUCUUCUUUAUGAUGGUACUUUCUUACUGCUGUGUUUUUCUCCCAGUUAGAUCAAAGAACAGGGAGGUUCUUGGAAAAAAAAAACAUACUACAUCCUCAUCACAUGAUCGUCGCGAACAACAAUUGUCUCUAAGUAAUGCUGAGUUGUACGUAACUAACAAAUGAGCCUCUCCAUGCUUGUAUGUUGAGUUAAGAGGUGCCGAGUGGCGAACAGAGUUACGUGUUCAGGGGUUUUAACCCCUGCUGUUCCUGUCUGUCCAACAUCCCCACCGCCACCUACCUCACCCUCUCGCCCCCGCCCGAGCCCCCUCUGUUUUCUCAGCGCUCCGUUUCUUCAUAGAGCCAAUACAAACAGCAUUAUUUAUGCUCUGCAAAACACUCCUUAAUUACUCAUGAACUGGCACACGCUCCAGAGUCCGCCGCUCCCUACCUCCCACCAACAGCCAUUAAACACUCCCUAAAAGCUUGCUAUUUGAUAUUAGCACACUUGAGCCUUUGAGAAGAAAUAAAAAAAAUAAAAAAAUAAAUCUGCGAGUGAUUUACAUAUGCACAGCAGCUGAUAUUUAUACUUGGCGGCAUGUCCCUGAAGGGCUUGUCUUAUUACCUCCAUCCUCGGGUCCUUGCACUGAGACCAGGAAGGAAGGCAGGUGAUUAAUUCUGUACUCAUGAGAAGCCAACAAGAGAAGGUUUUUUUUUCUCCUUCUUCUUCUUUCUCUUGCUCCUUUUUUUUGGAAAACAUUUGUUCUCUUUAUUUUAUGGUUUCCUUUGCCUUUUUAUUUUCAUAUCUAAUUUUAUUGUUCCCUUUUAUAAAGGUUUACGUGUGAUUAAGUGGUAAUGUGGUUUAGGUACACGGUGCACUGCAUGUAGAUGAUGUUUUAUCCACUAAUAAACAGCUGUUUAACUUUUCCACAGUUGUGGAGACACUCUUGAGCAGUUGUGUAGAGCACAUGAUGUCUUUGUACUUUGUCACAACACUAAGAAGAAAGUUGUCAUUAGGCUUCUUGUUGCAUUACAGUAACAUAUUUCAUCCUAAUGAGCUCUCAACCAUCCCUUAGCGAAUUUAUGUUUAAAUAAAAUUCCUGUGCCGGAUGUAUGAAGUCUUUUUUUUAUUUUAUUUUUUACAAUGAUCCAGCUUUAAAGUUUAUUAAUUGAUCAUACAGAUACUCUCAGAUAUAUUGAUAAUGAUGUCAAAGGCACACUCUUUACAGCACCUGCUCACAAGCUCACCCAGCAAAUAAAUCCAGUAGUAUUUUUUAUGCUUGCAGUUUAAUUACCUGCACAUGUUACUUCUAAAAAGCUGGCCAACCAUUGAGCCAGAUUAUUAUUAUUUAAAACACCAAAACAUAAAUAAAAUGUUCAACUUUGUCUCUAAUUACAACAUCAGAUUGAAACGAUAAAGCUAUCAACUGCUCGCUCAGUGUGUUUAAAAUCCUGCUGUCUAAUUACUGCUUUAGUCCCAUAUCCCUAUGACAUGGCAGUGAUAGAUCAUUAUUUUUCCCUGCAAUUUGUUAUAUUCUUUGCAAUAUAAUUGGAUCAGAUUAAUUAUGAUGAUUAAUGGAUUCUUAGAUUUCUGUGUGUGACCAUUAAUAGCAGAGGUUUAAAACAGGCAACACG
Molecule: long non-coding RNA, 2383 nt
Organism: Astatotilapia calliptera (eastern happy)
Lineage: Eukaryota; Metazoa; Chordata; Actinopteri; Cichliformes; Cichlidae
Source: Ensembl